Molecule: ribosomal RNA, 737 nt
Filed under: uncultured bacterium
Lineage: Bacteria
Description: bacterial SSU rRNA
Rfam family: Bacterial small subunit ribosomal RNA
Source: RNAcentral
ACGCUGGCGGCGCGUCUUAAGCAUGCAAGUCGAACGAUGAACCCGGAGCUUGCUCCGGGGGAAGAGUGGCGGACGGGUGAGUAACACGUGGGUAAUCUGCCUCAAAGCCUGGGAUAGCUCUGCGAAAGCAGGAUUAAUACCGGAUGUGAUUGUAGGUUCAUAAGAAUCAACAAUUAAAGGUUUCGGCCACUUUGAGAUGAGCCUGCGGUCUAUUAGCUUGUUGGUGGGGUAAUUGCCUACCAAGGCUACAAUAGAUAGCCGGCCUGAGAGGGUGAACGGCCACAUUGGGACUGAGAUACGGCCCAGACUCCUACGGGAGGCAGCAGCUAAGAAUCUUCCGCAAUGGGCGAAAGCCUGACGGAGCGACGCCGCGUGGAUGAUGAAGGCCCUACGGGUUGUAAAAUCCUUUUCUUAAGGAAGAAGGCCUAGUUUACUAGGUUUCCAUUGACUGUACUUAAGGAAUAAGCCCCGGCUAAUUACGUGCCAGCAGCCGCGGUAAUACGUAAGGGGCGAGCGUUGUUCGGAUUUACUGGGCGUAAAGGGUACGUAGGCGGAUUGACAAGUUGGAUGUGAAAUCUUCGAGCUCAACUCGAAAACUGCGUCCAAAACUGUCAAUCUAGAGUUAGGGAGAGGAAAACGGAAUUCCUAGUGUAGGAGUGAAAUCUAUAGAUAUUAGGAAGAACACCAAUGGCGAAGGCAGUUUUCUGGCCUAUAACUGACGCUAAGGUACGAAAGCU